AUUGCUUCUGGGCUUUUCAGCUAAGAUCAAGGGUAGUAUCUAUUCUUAUCAGUUUAAUUAUACUACAUAAAGAUUCUACUGUGCUUGCUCAAAAUUCAGCAAUAAUGAUGAAACUCCGGUUUGGGAACACUCAUUUAGGUUUUGAGCCUGAUUGCCUGUUUGAAUCCUAGUUCCUUCGUUUACUGGCACUGUGACCUUGGGAAAAUAAC
This is a small nuclear RNA of Prolemur simus (greater bamboo lemur), 209 nucleotides long. Its record names the gene U2. It matches the Rfam family "U2 spliceosomal RNA". Rfam says of the family: U2 is a small nuclear RNA (snRNA) component of the spliceosome (involved in pre-mRNA splicing). Complementary binding between U2 snRNA (in an area lying towards the 5' end but 3' to hairpin I) and the branchpoint sequence (BPS) of the intron results the bulging out of an unpaired adenosine, on the BPS, which initiates a nucleophilic attack at the intronic 5' splice site, thus starting the first of two transesterification reactions that mediate splicing. The record is from Ensembl. NCBI's taxonomy places the organism in Eukaryota, Metazoa, Chordata, Mammalia, Primates, Lemuridae.